GACGAACGCUGGCGGCGUGCCUAAUACAUGCAAGUCGAACGCUUUUUCUUUCACCGGAGCUUGCUCCACCGAAAGAAAAAGAGUGGCGAACGGGUGAGUAACACGUGGGUAACCUGCCCAUCAGAAGGGGAUAACACUUGGAAACAGGUGCUAAUACCGUAUAACACUAUUUUCCGCAUGGAAGAAAGCUGAAAGGCGCUUUUGCGUCACUGAUGAAUGGACCCGCGGUGCAUUAGCUAGUUGGUGAGGUAACGGCUCACCAAGGCAACGAUGCAUAGCCGACCUGAGAGGGUGAUCGGCCACACUGGGACUGAGACACGGCCCAGACUCCUACGGGAGGUAGCAGUAGGGAAUCUUCGGCAAUGGACGAAAGUCUGACCGAGCAACGCCGCGUGAGUGAAGAAGGUUUUCGGAUCGUAAAACUCUGUUGUUAGAGAAGAACAAGAAUGAGAGUAAAACGUUCAUCCCUUGACGGUAUCUAACCAGAAAGCCACGGCUAACUACGUGCCAGCCGCCGCCGUAA
RNAcentral lists this ribosomal RNA (523 nucleotides) under uncultured bacterium. RNAcentral's name for it is "partial 16S ribosomal RNA". It matches the Rfam family "Bacterial small subunit ribosomal RNA", at positions 28 to 523 of the family's 1533-position model. The record is from RNAcentral.